Molecule: long non-coding RNA, 466 nt
Organism: Metopolophium dirhodum (rose-grain aphid)
Lineage: Eukaryota; Metazoa; Arthropoda; Insecta; Hemiptera; Aphididae
Exons: 2
Source: RefSeq, a predicted model, not a curated record
AUUUUCUUCAAUACGAACAAAACGUAUAUUUUGUGAUAAUUAUCCGAACAUUCACAUAUUUCAACCUACAUAGCAACAACGACUGACAAAGAUAUAGCUUCAAGCCUGCAUGGUAGCCUGUUUAUUUAGUCAUGAUCAGACUCCAGGUAAGGUGUCCAAAGUUGAACAUCAUAGGUUGUUGAAGAACGUAGACGUUGAUGGUGUUUUGUCUGUUCUACACGGUCAAAAAUAAACAUGUUUUAACUGAUACCAUCAUUAUUGUGUAUUAAUUAAAUUGUGUACAUAUUAAAUUAAUGUUAUAUUUUUAUAACUGCACUGUAAAGCAAAAAAAUAUUUUAUUGUUUAUGUAUAAGGAUCUUUAUAAAUUGUUUUAUGAAAUGGGUAGUAGUAACUGUAUGUGUAUUGGUUAUUCUUAUUUGGUUAAAUACAGAGAUAUUCAGGAUUUUAAACUUUAUUCUAAUAUUAA